This 253-nucleotide ribosomal RNA is filed under the name uncultured bacterium. RNAcentral describes it as "partial 16S ribosomal RNA". It matches the Rfam family "Bacterial small subunit ribosomal RNA", at positions 524 to 776 of the family's 1533-position model. The record is from RNAcentral.
UACAGAGGGUGCAAGCGUUAAUCGGAAUUACUGGGCGUAAAGCGUGCGUAGACGGUUGCGUAAGUCAGAUGUGAAAGCCCCAGGCUCAACCUGGGAAUUGCAUUUGAGACUGCGUAGCUAGGGUGCGGAAGAGGGAAGCGGAAUUUCCGGUGUAGCGGUGAAAUGCGUAGAUAUCGGAAGGAACACCAGUGGCGAAAGCGGCUUCCUGGUCCAGCACCGACGUUCAGGCACGAAAGCGUGGGGAGCAAACAGG